UUUCCGUAGGUGAACCUGCGGAAGGAUCAUUAAUAAAUUUUUAAAAUUUAUAAAAAUCCAUUUCACCCUUUGUGAAUUCGUUAAUUUGUAAAAAAUGUCUUUCCAGUGGAGCUAAGUUUUUAGUGAAACUGGUUAGGUAUAAACUUUUUUUAAUAUAACGUUUUGUGUGAUCUGUCUGAAAAAAAUUGUUAAAUUAAAAACAACUUUUGACAAUGGAUCUCUUGGUUCUCGCAACGAUGAAGAACGCAGCGAAUUGCGAUAAGUAAUGUGAAUUGCAGAUUUAGUGAAUCAUCGAAUUUUUGAACGCAUAUUGCACUUUUUGGUAUUCCGAAAAGUAUGCCUGUUUGAGUAUCAGUAAAUAUUCUCAUCACAAAUUUUUUUUGAAUUUGUGUAUGGAUUUGAAUGCUUUUACUUGCUUAAGGUGAAACAUUUGAAAUAAAGUUGUUGAACUUUUAGGAAUAUUUAUAACAAUAAAAUGUGAUAAAAUUUUCCGCAAGGAAUAACCUAUUCAUUUUAAAGUUUAAGUAGGAAUAAAAGGAAUUCUUCAUUGAAGGAAUUUAGACAACUUUUGAUAUUUAUUGAUCAAAAGUUCUAAUCUAAAAAAAUUAAACUUGAUCUCAAAUCAGGUAAGAGUACCCACUGAACUUAAGCAUAUCAAUAAGUGGAGGAAAGAAACUAACAAGGAUUCCCUCAGUAACGGCGAGUGAAGCGGGAAGAGCUCAAAUUUGAAAUCUUGAAAGGUUACCUUCGACGAAUUGUAGUUUAAAGAAGUGUUUCUGCUGAAGUUUGGUAAAAGUUCUUUGGAAUAGGACAUCACAGAGGGUGAGAAUCCCGUAUUUGACCAUUAUUUCAGCUUUGUGAUACACUUUCAAAGAGUCGGAUUGUUUGGGAAUGCAGCCAAAAUGGGUGGUAAAUUUCAUCUAAAGCUAAAUAUUGGCGAGAGACCGAUAGCGAACAAGUACCGUGAGGGAAAGAUGAAAAGAACUUUGAAAAGAGAGUUAAACAGUACGUGAAAUUGUCAAAAGGGAAGCGUUUGACACCAGUGUUGUUUUCUCGAAAAUCAAUUAAAAAUGGCUCGAUUUGUAUUGCUGAGACCUUAAAAGCUCACUGUACAUUUUUGUGUCUUUUUUAAUGCACUUUUCGUUUAACAAGUCAACAUCAGUUUCUUUUGUUGUAAAAGGGUCAUUGGAAGGUGGCUUUCUUUUCGGAGAAAGUGUUUAUAGCCUUUGGCCUCUGCAAUCGAAGAGACUGAGGUCUGCAGCGUAGACUCUUCGGGGUUAGAUACAUUUGUGCUAAGUUAUAGCUUUUAUAGACCACUUGUUGACUAUAAUUAGUCUUGUAGCUUACUCGCUUAUGCUAUUUUACCUACGCUUAGGAUG
Molecule: unclassified non-coding RNA, 1379 nt
Filed under: uncultured Neocallimastigales
Lineage: Eukaryota; Fungi; Neocallimastigomycota; Neocallimastigomycetes; Neocallimastigales
Description: partial contains small subunit ribosomal RNA, internal transcribed spacer 1, 5.8S ribosomal RNA, internal transcribed spacer 2, and large subunit ribosomal RNA
Rfam family: Eukaryotic large subunit ribosomal RNA (bases 613-1379)
Source: RNAcentral